UUAAAAGGCGGUUUGCCGUGUCUCUAGUUUGGGGGUGGUGCUUAUGUAUGUAAGUCACAAAAUCCAACGGAAAGGAGACAACAGGCGGUGUCUGUUUAUGAAGCGUUGUCACUAAUGAUUGCUUUUGGCGUGUUAGUAGCGACAAUCAUGAACAAUA
This 157-nucleotide small RNA is filed under the name Streptococcus hyointestinalis. RNAcentral's name for it is "Listeria sRNA rli28". It matches the Rfam family "Listeria sRNA rli28", at positions 33 to 186 of the family's 186-position model. The record is from RNAcentral. Lineage: Bacteria; Bacillati; Bacillota; Bacilli; Lactobacillales; Streptococcaceae.